This 253-nucleotide ribosomal RNA is filed under the name uncultured bacterium. Its description in RNAcentral is "partial 16S ribosomal RNA". It matches the Rfam family "Bacterial small subunit ribosomal RNA", at positions 524 to 776 of the family's 1533-position model. The record is from RNAcentral.
UACGUAGGGGGCUAGCGUUGUCCGGAAUCAUUGGGCGUAAAGCGCGUGUAGGCGGUCCGGGAAGUCUGCUGUGAAAGUCGGGGGCUCAACCCUCGGAAGCCGGUGGAUACUGCUGGGCUAGAGUGCGGAAGAGGCGAGUGGAAUUCCUGGUGUAGCGGUGAAAUGCGCAGAUAUCAGGAGGAACACCAAUUGCGAAGGCAGCUCGCUGGGACGUGACUGACGCUGAGACGCGAAAGCGUGGGGAGCAAACAGG